This 1805-nucleotide long non-coding RNA is filed under the name Triticum aestivum (bread wheat). Its description in RNAcentral is "long non-coding RNA (TAES_LNC003703)". The record is from RNAcentral. Lineage: Eukaryota; Viridiplantae; Streptophyta; Magnoliopsida; Poales; Poaceae.
CGGUGUGAGAAACACGGGAGAAGAUUUGCCUCGAGCACUGAAAACAAGAAAAUUUGAGGGAAUGUCAAUUCUCAUAGAUAUAGACCGCACCUCCAAGGUAGUGGAAAUGCGCACAAGAAAGAAAACUGAAUCAAACUCAUGCUUCAAGAAUUCCAAGAUUGGGACAUUUUCUAAUCCUAUUCUUAUUGAUAGCUCGGAGUCGGAGACGGACUAGAUAUGCCAUAGUAUCGUCAAUGUUGGGUAUUUUCUAGAACUUAUAUCCAUUUUCAAUUGGUUCUUUUUAAUUGCAUAUUUAGAUUUCUUAUAUUCUGUUUUAGGAAUAAUAUUUCAAAUCAUAGAUCAUUAGACAAGGAUAUGUAAGAUAUGUAUGUUGGAUGUUUAGUUCACCCUAGAAUUAUUCAUGUCCCAUGGAUUGGUAGGAUAGCUUCGGUAAUUGUGUUAUGAAUAGUUCAAGUUGCUUUAUGGCACUAUAUUUUCACGUAUUGCAAUACUAUCAAAUAUAUUGGACUAUAAUCGGGGUGUUGAACUACACCAAUUUAAAACACAAGUCUUUUGGAUAUUGACAUCUUCUUCAAGAUGGUACUUUCUCAGUUGAUUACCAUACAAAAUUACUGCAGCAUAAAACCAAUUAUGAUUUGUAUUAAAAAUAUUUGUUAUAAAUCUAGCAUCCUCAAUUUGACAUUUCAUGCUAGAGGUUCACUAUUAAUAAAUGAUGGAAUUUAUAAAACUUGCAACUGAUAUCUAGUCAAACUAUAGUUUUUGGUAGAAUCAACAAUUGGUGCCUAUAUGUAUAUUUAUCUCAUAUGAAAACCUUUGUAAUUUAUGUUUCAUAAUUGGGUAACUUAUAGUUAUUUAUGAUAUAGCUUAUAAAUGGCAUGCUAGCAACUAUACCGUGUCAUGCCAUUUUUUAAAAAAAGCAUGCUUUUAAGGAUGGUCGAUAUAGUUAACAAAAAAAUGUGAAAGUGUGGUGGAGUUGUUAGUUUUUGAAGUUAUUUCAUCUUGUAUUUCUUGGCAUAUUACUGAUCACUAAGAAAAGACAAAAGUAAAUAAAUACCGAGCAUUAACCUAUGGAUUCGAUCCACUACUUACCAUUAUAUUAUAGAACCAUUAUUUUCCUUGGCCUGGGGCUUGUGAUAGUUGUCGUAUUCCUUGAGUUCUUGGACACCAUUCAUAUGUAGUUAUCUAUAUGUGCGAAGGGGAAUUUCCUAUCAAUGCAUAAUUUAUGUUUAAUUAAUUUGCAAUGUGUUGGUCCCAAUGUUAUACAAUUUUGUUAUUAUAAUAUGUAGAAUUUUCCUUGACAAAACUUCAAAUGUAUGUAAAAUUGUGUUGUUAGAACUUGCAUAAUUUACAACGUAUUUACUUUGAGAAGUAGUAAUGUGGUUAUUCACACUUUACCUGAGUAUUAAUGUGUAGUUGGGUAGUCAGUUAGCCAUCAAUUUACCAAUCAUUUGAUAACCGCACAUUGAGCGACUUAUCUCACAAAAUUUCCUCGCCCUUUUCAGAUUAUCCUCAUGCCUUGAGACUGGUGGUUGAUGACUAGGUUGGUUGAAAGUCAAGCCAAAGGAGGAAUCAAUUUAUUUCAGAACUUGAUUCUAAAGAAAUAUAGCAAACUAUGGAGCAUUUUGUUUAUUUACAUGGACUGAAAAUUUUGCCAUUUAUUUCCAUUCCAUAUUUAUGUAUAUAACUUUAGCAUCUUGUUAUGCCAUCCAAUGGACAUCUUAAGCUUUGAUAUAUCACUUAUUUUGAUUAUUAUUUUCAUUUACUAUUUAUGAACUAUCUUACUUGAGUGUUAUGUGAUAUUGUAU